UAAGGAAUAUUGGACAAUGGAGGCAACUCUGAUCCAGCCAUGCCGCGUGAAGGAAUAAGGCCCUAUGGGUUGUAAACUUCUUUUAGACGGGACAAAACCCCUUUACGUGUAAAGGGUUGAUGGUACUGUCAGAAUAAGCAUCGGCUAACUUCGUGCCAGCAGCCGCGGUAAUACGAAGGAUGCAAGCGUUAUCCGGAAUUAUUGGGUUUAAAGGGUGCGUAGGCGGUUUUGUAAGACAGAUGUGAAAUCCCCGGGCUUAACCUGGGAACUGCGUUUGUGACUGCAAGGCUGGAGUACGGCAGAGGGGGGUGGAAUUCCACGUGUAGCAGUGAAAUGCGUAGAGAUGUGGAGGAACACCGAUGGCGAAGGCAGCCCCCUGGGCCUGUACUGACGCUCAUGCACGAAAGCGUGGGGAGCAAACA
RNAcentral lists this ribosomal RNA (422 nucleotides) under uncultured bacterium. RNAcentral's name for it is "bacterial SSU rRNA". It matches the Rfam family "Bacterial small subunit ribosomal RNA", at positions 355 to 774 of the family's 1533-position model. The record is from RNAcentral.